GACGAACGCUGGCGGCGUGCCUAAUACAUGCAAGUAGAACGCUGAAGGAGGAGCUUGCUUCUCUGGAUGAGUUGCGAACGGGUGAGUAACGCGUAGGUAACCUGCCUGGUAGCGGGGGAUAACUAUUGGAAACGAUAGCUAAUACCGCAUAAUAGCAGUUAUUGCAUGAUAACUGUUUAAAAGGUGCAAUUGCAUCACUACCAGAUGGACCUGCGUUGUAUUAGCUAGUUGGUGGGGUAACGGCUCACCAAGGCGACGAUACAUAGCCGACCUGAGAGGGUGAUCGGCCACACUGGGACUGAGACACGGCCCAGACUCCUACGGGAGGCAGCAGUAGGGAAUCUUCGGCAAUGGACGGAAGUCUGACCGAGCAACGCCGCGUGAGUGAAGAAGGUUUUCGGAUCGUAAAGCUCUGUUGUAAGAGAAGAACGAGUGUGAGAGUGGAAAGUUCACACUGUG
RNAcentral lists this ribosomal RNA (459 nucleotides) under Streptococcus mitis. Its description in RNAcentral is "bacterial SSU rRNA". It matches the Rfam family "Bacterial small subunit ribosomal RNA", at positions 28 to 471 of the family's 1533-position model. Lineage: Bacteria; Bacillati; Bacillota; Bacilli; Lactobacillales; Streptococcaceae. The record is from RNAcentral.